RNAcentral lists this ribosomal RNA (580 nucleotides) under Sydowia polyspora. Its description in RNAcentral is "eukaryotic LSU rRNA". The record is from RNAcentral. Lineage: Eukaryota; Fungi; Ascomycota; Dothideomycetes; Dothideales; Dothioraceae.
GGACGUGGAGAGUGGGUCUUCCGGCGACUCCACCCUCUGUUGUUAAAACUACCUUGUUGCUUUGGCGGGACCGUCUCGGUCUCCGAGCGCACUAACCCUCGGGUUGGUGAGCGCCCGCCAGAGUCCAACCAAACUCUUGUAUUAAACCAGUCGUCUGAGUAUAAAAUUUUAAUUAAAUUAAAACUUUCAACAACGGAUCUCUUGGUUCUCGCAUCGAUGAAGAACGCAGCGAAAUGCGAUAAGUAAUGUGAAUUGCAGAAUUCAGUGAAUCAUCGAAUCUUUGAACGCACAUUGCGCCCCUUGGUAUUCCGAGGGGCAUGCCUGUUCGAGCGUCAUUACACCACUCAAGCAUCGCUUGGUAUUGGGAACGGUCCGUCGAAAGGCGGGCCUUCCUCGAAGACCUCGGCGGGGUUCAACCAACUUCGGGCGUAGUAGAGUUAAAUCGAACGUCUUAUAAGCUUGGUCGGAUCUCAUUGCCGUUAAACCUUUAAAUUUUCWAGGUUGACCUCGGAUCAGGUAGGGAUACCCGCUGAACUUAAGCAUAUCAAUAAGCGGAGGGGACGGAUCAUUAAGAGAUAGG